AAAAGGAGCCAUAAAAUUGAACUUCCCACUAGCCAUUCUUUCCCUUUUUGCUCUCUGCACACUUCAGCUGGGAAUCUUUAUGCAGGUAGUAGUUAUUUGACUUGUAUUAUUCUGGUUGUAAUAAAGUUAUAUCUAAGAAGCUAAGAGAGCUGACCAACUGAGAAGGGAAAGCAGUUUGUUCUGACCGUAAUGACAAAAGGAGUUCAAGGCACACCAAACAUUUUUCUCCCAUUUAGAAACAUUCUAGUAUUUAAGCUUAUAAAUACUUGGGCUUCCCAGGUGGCUCAGAUGGUAAAGUGUGUGCCAGCAAUGCGGGAGACCUGGGUUUGAC
Long non-coding RNA from Ovis aries (sheep), 331 nucleotides. It matches the Rfam family "Deleted in lymphocytic leukemia 1 conserved region 2". NCBI's taxonomy places the organism in Eukaryota, Metazoa, Chordata, Mammalia, Artiodactyla, Bovidae. The record is from Rfam.